Long non-coding RNA from Selaginella moellendorffii, 254 nucleotides. RefSeq lists it as uncharacterized. Lineage: Eukaryota; Viridiplantae; Streptophyta; Lycopodiopsida; Selaginellales; Selaginellaceae. The record is from RefSeq and is a predicted model, not a curated record. The transcript is spliced from 2 exons.
CAGCUGCAAGAUCCCGCAUCUGGCUACCGGUGUGGAUGCCACCGCUCGGCGUGUUCUUGCUCUUCUUCCGACUGGUAGCGCUCCUGCCGAGAGUGCUGGUGGCUACGAGCUUGAGAAAAGCUGUGCUCCUUCUCAGUACGCAAUUGGCGAAGAAAUUGCCACUGCUUUUAAUGUCUAGAUAAGAAAACAGGGAGAAAACUCUGCAACAAUGCUCUAGAAUCAACCCACCAAUAACAGCUGAACCUUUCGCCCUC